CCUGAGAAAACGGAGGUACUUGAGCUUGGCAAUGGUGGGCUGGAUUGGGCCGGUGAGGUUAGAGAGCUUGCGGAAGAUUAGUGUUUGCAGAUAAGGUAAGUCGCCUACUUCAGGAGGGAUCUGAGCGGAUAUCUGGUCGUAACUAAUGUGUAGGGAGGUGACACGGUGGUUGACGGUGGCGUCGCCGCAGUCAACGUUGAACCAGGUGCAGCAGUCUUCUUUGGGGUCCCAGGAGAUGAUGUUGUUGUAAGGGUUGCUAAGUGACUUCUUGAUCUUGAGGAGAGUGUUUUUGUCAUCUUUGUGACAGAGAUCUUUAGAUAAAGAGGUCGUGAGGAAGAGCGUGAAGAACAAGAAGAGGAGCAGGGUCGUUGCCUUACUCAUAAUGGUAGUGUGCUUGAGUAUGAGUUGUAGUGGAAACUUCUAAUGAUAUAUAGGCUAACGGCCUAACGUAAUCAAUUGGAAACUUAGUGGUAGGGUUUUACUAAUUAUAUUUGCUGACUAGACCACAUGCUAAACAAGUUAUGGACGGUGCGUGUGAACUCAUGGUUCAAAUUCUCCCCGGGCUAGAUAAAUUUGAGUUGAGAAAGUAAUUGGGCCUUCAGAAGUGAAGCCCAUAAUAAGAAUUAAUUGCGCGAGUCCGAAAAUUGAAAAACGAGGCCCGUGAGUUAGUUAUUACCGUUAUAAGUGAAAACAGAGAAUAAGUAUUCAUCCUUAUUCUUCCUCUAUUUGUGGUAACUUCUACCUUCAUUUUCACUUUAAAAAUGUUCUAAGAACUCAUAAAAAUACAAGUUGUGACACAUGUUUUAUUUAAUCAAUCUUGAUGAUAUUAUUUUUUUUUUUUUGGGAAAACUAGAGAUAAGCUUGGUUUAUUACUUGCAACUACUAUCAAGAGGUGCACCACAUAAACACUUGUUAUGAAAAUAUGUAUAAGAAUCAAAUCUCUGAAGACUUCCUCCAGUGGGGAUGGGUCCACACAGUCUGUUAUAGCUAACAUUUAAGAUUUGGAGAGAAUAUUCAGUCCACUGAACCGGAAUACUCCCUGUGAUCCCAUUGUGGUUCAAGUCCAGUACACCAAGUGACUCAUGGAGCACAACUCUGGACAGAUCAAACUGGAACAUGUUUCUUGAUAAGUCAAUGGAAAACGUCGUUUUGUUGGCUCCAAACAACAUCGAAGCAUCGCCUGUGAGCUUGUUCCUUGAGAAAUCUAUCCGGUUAAAAUCAAGGUUGCCUAGUGAUUUGGGUAUAGAACCGGAGAGCUGAUUGUGUGAAAAGAUAAGGUAAGGAACUUCUGCUGGAAACGAUCCAAAUGAUUCAGGUAUUGUACCUAAGUGAAAGUUAGAAAAAAAGCAUUUUAAUAAUCAUAUUUUAAGCGACGAAUAGUAGAAUCAAAGAGAUUUUGUGACCAAAAAAAAAAAGUAGAAUCAAAGAGAUUACUUAGUUUACCUGUAAGUUUAUUCCUACUAACAUCAAUGUACGAAAGUUUAGGUAACAAAGCGAGGGAGCUAGGUAUGGAACCAGAGAGCUGAUUGAAGGCAAGGCUUAAGUAUUCAAGAUUCAUGAGCUGACUAAGGAAAUCAGGAACCGGGCCGGUGAGGUUCAACCAGCUAAGCCUGAGAGAACGGAGAUGCUUAAGCUUGGUGAUGGUGGAUGGGAUCUGACCGGUGAUGUUAGUGAUCCUGUGGAACAUAAGAUUCUGAAGAUACGGUAAGUCACCCACUUCAGGCGGAAUCUGACCGGAUAUCUGACCGGCGAAUAUGGUUAGGGAGAUGACGCGGUGGUUAACGGUGGCGUCGCCGCAUUCGAGGCAGUACCAGGAGCAGCAGUCGGUUUCCGGGUGCCACGAGGCGAGGUGGUAAGGGUUGUUUAGGGACUUCUUGAUUUUAAGGAGGGUGUUUUUGUCGUUUUGGUUACAUAGAUCUUUCGAUGUCGCGAUGGUGAUGAGGUACGUGAUGAAAAACAAGAGCGAGAAAAGCAGUGUCGUGUUUGUCUUAUGAUCCAUGUUGUAUGGUGUUUGGUUUUGAAUAUUUUUUUUGUUGAAAGUGUGACGAUGAUAUAAACACUAUCGAGAUUAGAUAUUUGAUUUGAUAGAAACCUUAAUAGUCAGUCAAUACGUGUGAUUAAGAUGUCGGUGUUGAAUAUGGUUGGCUGGUGCCAACAUGCUGGCAGUCAACAUGUGCCACUUGAGUACUACUACUCUCUCAGCCACGGCUUCUAUUUUCUGAUUAAAAAAAAAAAAUUCAUAUGUAUAUAAAUGUUUGGGUUUAUAAUCUUACACGAAGCACUUUUAAGCUUCAAUAUAUGAAAUUUGCUUUUGAUACAAUUUUAAAACAGUUUCCACAAAUAGUUUUAUUUUCGAAAUGAGAAAAUUUAUAUAAUUUAAAACAGGAUUUGAAAAAUGAGAUGCACCAAAAAGAAAAUAGCAUCUAAAUGUAUUUCAUGAAACUAAAAUAUGACUAGAAAAGCAUCUGACAUGAAAUAACAUCUGGCGUGAGAGAAAAAGCAUGGAGCUGAUCCUUCUCCACCUAUCAAACUAGAAAAGCAUCUAUAGGACUAUCAGAAACAGAACAUAUGCAGAUGGGAUAGCAAUAUGGUUUGGCUCAAGGAUAAGCACCUAAAUCAUUCUUUACAUUCUUUUCUUCUUUAUUCUUUCUCUAUUUAGAAGUUAAAAACACCUUUCGGACACGGAAGCUCUAGAUGUUAAAUAAGGUUCUUAGUUUUUUUAGUUAAAAGUUAAGAAACGGUUUUUUAUAUUCCGCUAAGAACAAGAAACGGUUUUUUAUAUUCCGCUAAGAACCUCACCCUAAGAACUCUCCAUUAAUCAUGCUCUUAUAAGUGAAAAUAGAGGAUAAGUAUUCGUCCUUAUUCUUCCUCUAUUUGUGGUAAGCUCUACCUUCAUUUUCACUUUAAAAAUGUUCUAAGAACUCAUCAAAAUACAAGUUGUGAUACAUGUUUUAUUUAAUCAAUCUGGAUGAUAUUACAUUUUUUUUUUUGGGAAAACUAGAGAUAAGCUUGGUUUAUUACUUGCAACUAUCAAGAGGUGCACCACACAAACACUUGUUGUGAAAAUAUAUAUAAGAAUCAAAUCUCUGAAGACUGCCUCCAGUGGGGAUGGGUCCACACAGUCUGUUAUAGCUAACGUUUAAGAGUUGGAGAGAAUAUUCAGUCCACUGAACCGGAAUACUCCCUGUGAUCCCAUUGUGGUUCAAAUCCAGUACACCAAGUGACUGAGGGAGCACAACUCUGGACAGAUCAAACUGGAACAUGUUUCUUGAUAAGUCAAUGGAAAACGUCGUUUUGUUGGCUCCAAACAACAUCGAAGCAUCGCCUGUGAGCUUGUUCCUUGAGAAAUCUAUCCGGUUAAAAUCAAGGUUGCCUAGUGAUUUGGGUAUAGAACCGGAGAGCUGGUUGUGUGAUAAGAUAAGGUAAGGAACUUCUCCUGGAAACGAUCCAAAUGACUCUGGUAUUGUACCUAAGUGAAAGUUAAAACGUUGUGAAUAGAAAAAUAACAAUGUAAUAAACAGUUUAUUUUUUAUAAUCGUUUUUUUAUACAUAAAAGAGUUAUUCACCUGUAAGCUUAUUCCUACUAAGAUCAAUGUACGUAAGUUUAGGUAACAGGGAGAGAGAGCUAGGUACUGAACCAGAAAGCUCAUUGAACGAAAGGUUUAAGUAGUCAAGAUUCACGAGCUGACUAAGAAAAUCAGGAACCGGGCCGGUGAGGUUCGUCCAGCUAAGCCAUAGAAACGUGAGAUACUUGAGCUUGGUGAUGCUGUGUGGGAUCUGACCGGUGAGGUUAGUGAGUUUGCGGAAGACAAGCUUCUGAAGAUACGGUAAGUCACCGACUUCAGGCGGGAUCUGACCGGAUAUCUGACCGGCGAAUAUGGUUAGGGAGAUGACGCGGUGGUUAACGGUGGCGUCGCCGCAUUCGAGGCAGUACCAGGAGCAGCAGUCGGUUUCGGGGUGCCACGAGGCGAGGUGGUAAGGGUUGUUUAGGGACUUCUUGAUCUUGAGGAGGGUCUUUUUGUCGUUUUGGUUACAUUGAUCUUUUGAUGACGCGUUCGCGAGGUGUGUGAUGAAAAACAAGAGCGAGAAAAGCAGUGUCGAAUGUAUUUUAUUAUCCAUGUUGUAUGGUUUUGAUUUUGAGUUUUUGUUCUUGAAAGUGUGACAGUGAUAUAUACACACUAGAGAUUAGAGAUUUGAUUUGAUAGGAACCUUAAUAGUCAAUACGUAUGCUCAAGAUGUCGGUGUUGAAUUUGGUUGGCUAGUGCAAAACUAGUGGCUGUCCACAUGUGCCACUUGAGUACUACUACUCUCUCCAUCACGGCUUCUUUUUUUGAAAAAGGGCUUUCCGGGCUAUUUAUUUUAUGGGAAAUUGGGUGAGAUAACAUAAAAAAAAACCAUAAUUCACUAUUUAACUAAAAUUUCAUUAUCUCUCAUCUUUUCUCUUUCUAUCUCUCUCUACUUUUUCUCUACAAGACUAAUUUUUCUUUUUUUCUUAGCUAUUUCACAAAUAAAUCUUUAUUUUAUUUUAUUUUUCUAAAAAAUUAUUCGUAUACUUAUAUAGUUAUAUAAAUUAUGGUUUACAAUACCACAUGAAAGACUUUAAAGCUUCAGCAUAUCAGAUUUACUUUUGAUAAAAUUUGAAACAAUAACCACGAAUAGUAUAUAUUGUUUUAUUUAUUUAAAAACUGGAGGUUGGAUUCGAAAAUUUAGAUGCACCAAAAAAAAAAAUAUACUAGAAACAAGUUUGGUUGAUUAACAAAAAGUUUUGAAGAUUAUACAACAAAUUUAUCAAAGCAAGUUUGGUUGAUUAUUUUUAUUAAUCAAUCCAAAUAAAGAUACAGUUGUUUAUAGACUUAUUGGAUUAUUUGUAGAAGUAUAAUAAUAAUAGCUUGGCUGCUUGAAUCUUUUACUUGCAACUAUCAAGAGGUGCACCACACAAACACUUGUUGUGAAAAUAGGAAUAAGUAUCGAAUUCCUGAAGUGUCCCUCCUGUGGGGAUGUGUCCACACAAUCUGUUAUAGCUAACAUUGAAGAACUGAAGAGGAGCUUCGGUCCACUGAACCGGGAUAUUCCCUGUGAUUCCGUUGUGGUUCAAGUCCAAGAUACCAAGUGUCUUAGGGAUCACAACUCUAGAGAGAUCGAACUGUAACAUGUUUCUUGAUAAAUCAAUGUACCACGUCGUUUUGUUGGCUCCAAACAACAUCGAAGCAUCGCCUCCGAGCUUGUUCCGAGAGAAAUCUAUCCGGUUAAAAUCAAGAUUGCCUAGUGUUUUUGGUAUAUAACCGGAGAGCUGGUUGUGUGAUAGGUAAAGAUCAGGUACUUUUGCUGGAAACGACCCAAAUGACUCUGGUAUAGAACCUGCUUGCAUGAAAAGUUUCAUAAUCAGGUUUAGAAAGAAAGGUAAAUAAAUGCCCUUUUUACAAAAAAAAAAAAUAGAAAGGUAAAUAGGUAAAAAGAGAAAAAGAGAGUUUAUUUACCUGUAAGCUUGUUCCUGAUCCUGCUGAGAUCAAGGGACAAAAGAUUAGGUAACAAAGAUAGAGAACUCGGUACUGAACCAGAGAGAUCGUUGAAGGAAAGGUCUAUGAACUGGAGAUUCUUGAGCUCACUGAGAAAACCAGGAACCGGACCGGUCAGAUUCGUCCAGCUGAGCCUGAGGCUCCGGAGAUACUUGAGCUUGGUGAUGGUGCGUGGGAUCUGACCGGUGAGGUUAGUGAGUUUGCGGAAGACAAGGGUCUGUAGAUAAGACAAGUCACCAACCUCAGGCGGGAUCUGACCGGAGAUCUGACCGGAAAAUAUGGUUAGGGCGGUGACGCGGUGGUUAACGGUGGCGUCGCCGCACUCGAGGCAGUACCAGGAGCAACAGUCUGUUUGAGGGUCCCACGAGGCGAGGUGGUAAGGGUUGUUUAGGGCUUUCUUGAUCUUGAGGAGGGUGGUUUUGUCAUCUUGGUUACAUAGGUUUUUAGAGAAAGAAGUCGUGAGGAAUGUGAACAUGGAGAAGAACAAAAGCAGUGUCGUUGUCUUAUCCAUGCUGUCGUUG
Molecule: long non-coding RNA, 6037 nt
Filed under: Brassica napus (rape)
Lineage: Eukaryota; Viridiplantae; Streptophyta; Magnoliopsida; Brassicales; Brassicaceae
Description: long non-coding RNA (BNAP_LNC023800)
Source: RNAcentral